AAGAGCGUAGUAUAACGGUAGUAUUGCAACCUCCAAAGUUGUUUGUAGGGGUUCGAUUCCUCUCGCUCUUG
Non-coding RNA from Naganishia vaughanmartiniae, 71 nucleotides. The record is from the annotation of a GenBank genome assembly. Lineage: Eukaryota; Fungi; Basidiomycota; Tremellomycetes; Filobasidiales; Filobasidiaceae.